This is a non-coding RNA of Mycena rebaudengoi, 93 nucleotides long. The record is from the annotation of a GenBank genome assembly. NCBI's taxonomy places the organism in Eukaryota, Fungi, Basidiomycota, Agaricomycetes, Agaricales, Mycenaceae.
GGCCUAGUGGUGUAGUGGUAACACAUCAACAUGGAGUAGUGAGGAGGAUCUACAUUUCAGUAGAGGACCCCUGUUCAAUUCAGGGCUGGGUCA